GACGAACGCUGGCGGCGUGCUUAACACAUGCAAGUCGAGCGGUAAGGCCCUUUCGGGGGUACACGAGCGGCGAACGGGUGAGUAACACGUGGGUGACCUGCCCUCAGCUCUGGGAUAAGCCUGGGAAACUGGGUCUAAUACUGGAUAUGACUCCACGGUGCAUGUCGUGGGGUGGAAAGCCUUGUGCGGCUGAGGAUGGGCCCGCGGCCUAUCAGCUUGUUGGUGGGGUGAUGGCCUACCAAGGCGACGACGGGUAGCCGGCCUGAGAGGGCGACCGGCCACACUGGGACUGAGACACGGCCCAGACUCCUACGGGAGGCAGCAGUGGGGAAUCUUGCGCAAUGCGCGAAAGCGUGACGCAGCAACGCCGCGUGGGGAAGACGGCCUCGG
This 390-nucleotide ribosomal RNA is filed under the name uncultured bacterium. RNAcentral's name for it is "bacterial SSU rRNA". It matches the Rfam family "Bacterial small subunit ribosomal RNA", at positions 28 to 420 of the family's 1533-position model. The record is from RNAcentral.